CAAGUCUUCUCCUUUGUCUUGUUUUUGUUGCACAAAGAUGCCUCCUUUCUUUACUAUACCUGAUAAUGAUGAGUCAUGAGCAUUCAUAUGUUCUUCUGGGCAUAUUAAGAUGGAAAAGAGUAAUGCCAAUGUCACUAAGGGCCAGAAACAAAGAGUAUCGGUUGGGAGGCUGCGAUUUGCUUCUCUGCUCUCAGGAGUUGAUGUAGCUCUACUGGGCAUCUCUUCUCUACACAGCAUAAUCUCAAAACUGGUUGAUGCAAGUAAACGCAUUCUUCCUCUGUACAAGCUCUUCUUUGGUCUCAGUUUGCUAUGGCGCCAGUAGAACUAAAACUCAGAGAACGAGAUUAGUUGUUAUUUAUACUAGUUUCAUUGAUUUCAUAUCGUAUGGAAUAGAGAUACAAAAUCCAGACAAGAUAGUAGCUACCACAUGCUAUCCUCCAAGCUUAAACAAUUGCAUUUUCGUUCAAAGCUCAUCCAUGGCACGUAGAAUCCCUUUAGAUACUCUGAAUUCGUAGCAAAAUAUCAUCUGGAUCUUUACUCUCAAUUAUGGAUGCAAUUCUCUUCUCCUUAGGUAAAGGAUACUGCUCCUUCAAUGGAAUAGGGAUACGUCGUUUUUUGGUGGGCAACAUGGCUGUGAUUUGCUUAUUUUGAUUUUCCUCGUUGAUGUAACUCUACUGGGCGUGUCUUCUCUAUUGAGCAUACUAUUAAAACUAGUUACACAACUAAUAAUGGGAUAGGUAACUAACUGUAAUGCCCGAAAGAACAAUUGAACAAUAUCAGGCUUAUUAUAUGUCUGGACUAGAGCCUAGUUUAGAGUUACAGACGCAAAACUUAACAUUACAUUCACUGUUCUUACCUCUGUAAAUACUAAAUUUGUUUCUGCUC
This is a non-coding RNA of Camelina sativa (false flax), 885 nucleotides long. NCBI's taxonomy places the organism in Eukaryota, Viridiplantae, Streptophyta, Magnoliopsida, Brassicales, Brassicaceae. The record is from RefSeq and is a predicted model, not a curated record.